UGAGCAACCUGCCCUUGAUUCUGGAAUAACAGUUGGAAACAGCUGCUAAUACCGGAUAUGACUUUGUGUGACAUCACACGGAGUGGAAAGCCCUGGCGGUCAAGGAUGGGCUCGCGGCCUAUCAGCUUGUUGGUGAGGUAACGGCUCACCAAGGCUUCGACGGGUAGCCGGCCUGAGAGGGCGACCGGCCACACUGGGACUGAGAUACCGGCCCAGACUCCGUAGGGACGG
Molecule: ribosomal RNA, 231 nt
Filed under: uncultured bacterium
Lineage: Bacteria
Description: partial 16S ribosomal RNA
Rfam family: Bacterial small subunit ribosomal RNA
Source: RNAcentral